UAGGGAAUAUUGCAAAUGGGCGAAAGCCUGAUGUAGCAACGCCGCGUGUGCGAUGAAGGUCUUCGGAUUGUAAAGCACUUUUUGGAGGGAUGAGGAAGGACAGUACCUCCAGAAUAAGCCUCGGCUAACUACGUGCCAGCAGCCGCGGUAACACGUAGGAGGCAAGCGUUAUUCGGAUUUACUGGGCGUAAAGCGCGUGCAGGCGGUUUGGAAAGUUGGAUGUGAAAGCUCCUGGCUCAACUGGGAGAGGUCGUUCAAUACUUCCAGACUUGAGAGUGGUAGAGGGAGGUGGAAUUCCGGGUGUAGUGGUGAAAUGCGUAGAUAUCCGGAGGAACACCAGUGGCGAAAGCGGCCUCCUGGACCACUUCUGACGCUCAGACGCGAAAGCUAGGGUAGCAA
RNAcentral lists this ribosomal RNA (399 nucleotides) under uncultured bacterium. Its description in RNAcentral is "bacterial SSU rRNA". It matches the Rfam family "Bacterial small subunit ribosomal RNA", at positions 355 to 771 of the family's 1533-position model. The record is from RNAcentral.